Molecule: ribosomal RNA, 255 nt
Filed under: uncultured bacterium
Lineage: Bacteria
Description: partial 16S ribosomal RNA
Rfam family: Bacterial small subunit ribosomal RNA
Source: RNAcentral
UACGGGGGGGGGCAAGCGUUGUUCGGAAUUACUGGGCGUAAAGGGUUCGUAGGUGGCCAAUUAAGUCAGACGUGAAAUCCCUCAGCUUAACUGGGGAACUGCGUCUGAGACUGGAUGGCUUGAGUGCAGGAGAGGAACGCGGAAUUCCAGGUGUAGCGGUGAAAUGCGUAGAUAUCUGGAGGAACACCGGUGGCGAAGGCGGCGUUCUGGACUGCAACUGACACUGAGGAACGAAAGCCAGGGGAGCAAACGGGG